This 352-nucleotide ribosomal RNA is filed under the name uncultured bacterium. Its description in RNAcentral is "bacterial SSU rRNA". It matches the Rfam family "Bacterial small subunit ribosomal RNA", at positions 917 to 1271 of the family's 1533-position model. The record is from RNAcentral.
GGGCCCGCACAAGCGGUGGAGCAUGUGGUUUAAUUCGAUGAUACGCGAGGAACCUUACCAGGGCUUAAAUGUAGUGGGACAGGUCUAGAGAUAGACCCUUCUUCGGACUCAUUACAAGGUGCUGCAUGGUUGUCGUCAGCUCGUGCCGUGAGGUGUCAGGUUAAGUCCUAUAACGAGCGCAACCCCUAUCGUUAGUUGCCAGCGAGUAAUGUCGGGAACUCUAACGAAACUGCCAGUGCAAACUGUGAGAAGGUGGGGGAUGACGUCAAAUCAUCACGGCCCUUACGUCCUGGGCUACACACGUGCUACAAUGGCCGGUACAGAGAGCAGCCACUUCGCAAGAAGGAGCGAA